Molecule: long non-coding RNA, 2015 nt
Filed under: Homo sapiens (human)
Lineage: Eukaryota; Metazoa; Chordata; Mammalia; Primates; Hominidae
Description: novel transcript
Source: RNAcentral
UUUCUCAUUUGCCCUCCAAGCCCCAAAUCCUGUCAGUCCACGGCCUUGAUGGAGCGGCCCCCGUGGGACGACCCUGUUGAUUGUGCUAGCGGAUGUUGUCUCCAUUCUGGAUCUGGGAAAAACUGUGGAGUGAAAGCCGGACCUGUUAGGGUUGGGACCUGAAAGCGGACUUUUUCGCUCUCAGACGGGCCCCAGGAAUUUCAUGUUUAACAGAGGUGUCUUCAAGGAGAUGAAACAAUUCAGAAUGACCUAGGCAAUGGGGUAAUUCCUAAGAUGCUUGACUCAGUGAUGCAGAACCUUUCAGAGUUAGCUGGAAGCCACAGCCCUGCCUCUUGAUGCAGCCUGGAUCCAGCCGGUGUGAAGAGGAGACCCCUUCCCUCUUGUGGGGUUUGGAUCCUGUGUUUCUAGCCUUUGCAAAACUCUACAUCAGGGAUAUCCUGGACAUGAAGGAGUCCCGCCAGGUGCCAGGUGUAUUUUUGUACAAUGGACAUCCAAUAAAACAGGUAGAUGUCUUGGGAACUGUCAUUGGAGUGAGAGAAAGAGAUGCUUUCUACAGUUAUGGAGUGGAUGACAGCACUGGAGUUAUAAACUGCAUCUGCUGGAAAAAGUUGAAUACUGAGUCUGUAUCAGCUGCUCCAAGUGCAGCAAGAGAGCUCAGCUUAACCUCACAACUUAAGAAGCUACAAGAGACCAUUGAGCAGAAAACAAAGAUAGAGAUCGGGGACACGAUCCGAGUCAGAGGCAGUAUCCGCACAUACAGAGAAGAGCGAGAGAUUCAUGCCACCACUUACUAUAAAGUGGACGACCCAGUGUGGAACAUUCAAAUUGCAAGGAUGCUUGAGCUGCCCACUAUCUACAGGAAAGUUUAUGACCAGCCUUUUCACAGCUCAGCCCUAGAGAAAGAAGAGGCACUAAGCAAUCCAGGCGCCCUGGACCUCCCCAGUCUCACGAGUUUGCUGAGUGAAAAAGCCAAAGAAUUCCUCAUGGAGAACAGAGUGCAGAGCUUUUACCAGCAGGAGCUGGAAAUGGUGGAGUCUUUGCUGUCCCUUGCCAAUCAGCCUGUGAUUCACAGUGCCUCCUCCGACCAAGUGAAUUUUAAGAAGGACACCACUUCCAAGGCAAUUCAUAGUAUAUUUAAGAAUGCUAUACAACUGCUGCAGGAAAAAGGACUUGUUUUCCAGAAAGAUGAUGGUUUUGAUAACCUAUACUAUGUAACCAGAGAAGACAAAGACCUGCACAGAAAGAUCCACCGGAUCAUUCAGCAGGACUGCCAGAAACCAAAUCACAUGGAGAAGGGCUGUCACUUCCUGCACAUCUUGGCCUGUGCUCGCCUGAGCAUCCGCCCGGGCCUGAGCGAGGCUGUGCUGCAGCAAGUUCUGGAGCUCCUGGAGGACCAGAGUGACAUUGUCAGCACAAUGGAGCACUACUACACAGCGUUCUGAGCAGAGACACGCAGACCAGCUGAGGAGGACAAAGAUAAGCUAAACACCAGCUCCCCUCGCUGGUGGCUUCUCAGGUUUUAUUAGCACUUCCAGAAGACUUUGCCAUCCACAGAAGACGAGUUAUCCGAGAGCCAUGAUGAAUCUCUUCCUCACAAACUCACAGGCUGUCUUGAUCCAUCAUCAGAGAGGACCUGGAGCUGGCCAGCACCCUCCCAAGUUCGGGAGCUCAAUAUGGAGGGCCCGUUCCAGGUCUACCUCUCAUCCCUUCAGGGAAUAAUCCUUGCUCAUGGAGGUAGUGCCCUGUCCUCCCAUUUUCCCAUCAGCUGAGCAACAUUACCAGGUGCACCUUCCCCCAGGACUCCUGCUCCAACAUUCACAAAGGUUUUCUGUCAUCUUCUCUGACCAAGAAGCUCUGGCCUGGUGCCAAGAUCUCUCACAGUCUGAGCCCCCUAGGCCCAUCCAUCUUUUUUUUUCUUUGUCCCGUGCCAUCGUUUGGUGUCCUAGCGCCCUUCCCCAGGAAGGUUGGAGGAAUAGUGGGUUACUCUGUAUGGAGCAAAUAUGUGAAUAAAUAAA